Homo sapiens (human) is the source of this 1605-nucleotide long non-coding RNA. RefSeq annotates it as CUEDC1 antisense RNA 1. The record is from RefSeq and is a predicted model, not a curated record. The transcript is spliced from 2 exons. NCBI's taxonomy places the organism in Eukaryota, Metazoa, Chordata, Mammalia, Primates, Hominidae.
AGGUGCUGGUGCCUGCCAACAAGCACACACAGUUGCAGUCACACCCUCGUGUAACCAUGGUGAGGAUUUGGCUGCCGGUCAUAGGCUCCAUUGUUCCCCAGCUAAGCCACCCUGGACUCGGGGACAGGAUUUAUGGGCAGACAUUGUUAGGAGAACAGAUGUUCGGGCAGGCAGGCCUGGGACCCGCUGGAGGGAGUCAAGAAGACACUACCUCCUAAUUAAUAGGCGGUAAAUGUCUGAGGAACAGACUCCUGUCCCAUUUCUUCAAACAUCUGGGGUUCCGGACACUUAGGCCCUCUGCCAGGAAACUCAGGCAUUGUUCUGCUGGAAGGAGAGAAGGCCAGGAGGCAACCCUCAAAACCUGGGUGUGUUUGGCCAAGGCCAAGUAGAGAUUUAAGGGUCUUCGAGUAAAGCAUUCAGGAUUCUUACUCUUCAUUUGCUAUCUUUCUUAAAGACAGAAUAAAAUAAAAUGGGAUUUAGGUUGGAUUCCAAAAAAAACUUCCUGACUAUAAAGAGGUAUUAGAAAGUUCAUUUCCUAGGACAGAUCCCUGAAAGAUGCAACCACAUCAAAUGCCCACUCUGCAGGCAGGAGACUGGACAAUUUGACAUUUACCACCACAGGCACGCUCAGAGGUCCCCUCAGGCAACUGGGCUCUAGCUCCCAUCUCAAGUGAGGCUUGUGGACAAUGCAAAAUCUAAAGUCAAACACAUCCUUUGCUAAAUUUAACAAGCAGAUAGGCAUAGCGUUCAGAUAUUAAAAUGAAGUCUUUUUUUAAUGAAUGGGCAGGGCUUGGAGUUUGCCAAUGUCAUCAAUGAGGUUAAUGUGGCUACGUUAAAGUUAGCACAUGAGUUUUGGAUGAUGCAGUUUAUCAAACCAGCAGGGACUGAGCAACAGCUCAGGCAGAAAGUUGGCGCCUGGCCUUAGGGAGCCCUGUCCGGCCUGGGUAUCCUUGCCCACGUGCCACAGCUAAAAUGCUGGUAGGACCUCGGGGACUUAAGGCAGGGUUGCUGCUACCCCCGGCUGUUUGGGCCAACACUUGAGCUCCGGCCUGGAACAGAAGGCUCCCUAAUAGGUUGUUAAGAGCCUGGGAAGGCGGAACAAGCUGGGCGGGGAGGAGGGGGCCUCAGGGGGCUGUUAUGAUAAGCAAGAGCUCAGUCUAAAGACAUGCUCCCAAGCUGAAGGUUUCAUUUCCUGCCAGGCAACUCACCCGUUUGAAUCAAACACAGAAUUUAGUAUUCACCAUAGAACAAUCAUAUGACAAAAACUUUGCAGAGUUUACCCAGAUGUAGGUUUUCCUUAAGGUAAAAGAGGAGUCAUAUUACCGAAGCCUCAUCUUCUCACGAGUUCAAAACCUCUCCAACCUCUCAGGAGAAACCAAGGGCCGGAAAGGUUAAAGGCCUCACCCUCAAGGUCCCACCAAAGAAUCGAAGCUGGUGCCAGCUCUCCGACUCCUACCCAGCAACCCGCCCCAGGUGGCCAGCAGCUGCCUCUGAGAAUGCAGAAGGCCGAGGGGGGCUGAGAGUGUUUCUAAAUCACAGCACACUUGCUCCAUCCCGAUGGCCUUGUGAUGCCUGAGGCAUGAGGGCAGGCCAGGACAGGAGCCA